Molecule: transfer RNA, 39 nt
Filed under: Diadema savignyi
Lineage: Eukaryota; Metazoa; Echinodermata; Echinoidea; Diadematoida; Diadematidae
Description: partial tRNA-Lys
Source: RNAcentral
UUAAUUUAAAAGACAKUAGUUAAACUCUACUAUUAAGGG